This 506-nucleotide ribosomal RNA is filed under the name uncultured bacterium. Its description in RNAcentral is "partial 16S ribosomal RNA". It matches the Rfam family "Bacterial small subunit ribosomal RNA", at positions 28 to 523 of the family's 1533-position model. The record is from RNAcentral.
GAUGAACGCUAGCUACAGGCUUAACACAUGCAAGUCGAGGGGUAACGAGAGGAAAGCUUGCUUUCCUUGUCGACGACCGGCGCACGGGUGAGUAACGCGUAUCCAACCUGCCCCCAACUAGGGAAUAACCUUGCGAAAGUAAGACUAAUACCCUAUAAUUUCCUCAGAUGUCAUCUGACGAGGAAUAAAGAUUUAUCGGUUGUGGAUGGGGAUGCGUCUGAUUAGCUAGUUGGCGGGGUAACGGCCCACCAAGGCAACGAUCAGUAGGGGUUCUGAGAGGAAGGUCCCCCACAUUGGAACUGAGACACGGUCCAAACUCCUACGGGAGGCAGCAGUGAGGAAUAUUGGUCAAUGGGCGGAAGCCUGAACCAGCCAAGUAGCGUGCAGGAUGACGGCCCUAUGGGUUGUAAACUGCUUUUAUACAGGAAUAAAGUUAGCCACGUGUGGUUAUUUGUAGGAACUGUAUGAAUAAGGACCGGCUAAUUCCGUGCCAGCAGCCGCGGUAA